UGGUCCUACGGGGGGCCGCAGUGAGGAAUAUUGGUCAAUGGUCGGGAGACUGAACUAGCCAAGCCGCGUGAGGGAGGAAGGUACAGAGUAUCGUAAACCUCUUUUGUCAGGGAACAAAGACUGGGACGCGUCCCCGGAUGGGUGUACCUGAAGAAAAAGCAUCGGCUAACUCCGUGCCAGCAGCCGCGGUAAUACGAAGGAUGCGAGCGUUAUCCGGAUUUAUUGGGUUUAAAGGGUGCGUAGGCGGACUGUUAAGUCAGCGGUAAAAGCCCGGGGCUCAACCCCGGCGAGCCGUUGAAACUGGC
Molecule: ribosomal RNA, 305 nt
Filed under: uncultured bacterium
Lineage: Bacteria
Description: bacterial SSU rRNA
Rfam family: Bacterial small subunit ribosomal RNA
Source: RNAcentral